AGAGUUUGAUCAUGGCUCAGGAUGAACGCUAGCUACAGGCUUAACACAUGCAAGUCGGAGUGGCAGCAUCAUCAAAGCUUGCUUUGAUGGAUGGCGACCGGCGCACGGGUGAGUAACACGUAUCCAACCUGCCGACAACACUGGGAUAGCCUUUACGAAAAGAAAGAUUAAUACCGGAUGGUUACUAGUUUUCCCGCAUGGGAUGAUUAUUAAG
Molecule: ribosomal RNA, 214 nt
Filed under: uncultured bacterium
Lineage: Bacteria
Description: partial 16S ribosomal RNA
Rfam family: Bacterial small subunit ribosomal RNA
Source: RNAcentral